UAUCAUGAAGGCCCCUAUCAUGAAGCCGUUGAAUCGUCUGUUCUGAACUCGAGCACCCACAUGAAGCGAUCGGUCAUGCAGUGCCAGAAUCUCACAGCUCCAGCAGCUCCAACGCCUGGAACGAGGCACGCGCCUACCUGAACCGACCGAUUCAACCAGUCUGUACGAUGGUUAUAGUGAAGAAAAAUACCAAAUACGCAUGCAGUGGAAGUGACUUCUUUCUACCACUCCAUCAACCGAGAGUCUUUUAUUUGAGUGACAAAGAAAAGAGAAAAACAGUUUAAACAUGGGCAUUGCAUGGCGGAAGUAUAUCAGAUGUGAAUCUUCCAUAUAGUGAAUCUUUGGUAUAUGUAGAAAACAUGUCCCAGAUGUCCUUCUUUCCAUGAAUGUAUUUCUGAGUUGUUUCCGCCAUUUAUUUUUGCAGGUUGCAUAAAUUUUGCAGGUUCCAAUUUGUUUUUGCAGGUUGCAUAAAUUUUACCAGAGUUUAGUAACUGGAUUAGAAUUUAACAGAGUUUUUUCGAGUGUGAAGAAUUUAACAUAGUGCAUAACAUGUUGGCAAGUGUGGCUCGCUACCUUAUCUUGAGAUUUUGUGUGGUAUUUAUUCAUUCCUUCCCAGGUUGCACAUGAUAUCUGAAGUGAUUAUUGCUAUACAUAGGAACGACAUUCCAACAUCUUACUAACGUGAUUUGAAUCAGUUUACCAGAUGCGGGAAAUGAAUAUCCAAUUAUGCGGUACUUUCAUAUUCAGUGUAUCUCAAUGGGUGACUUGAUGUCAUUAGCUUCCCUUCAGCCUAGCUUCUCGCUUUGAUUUUCAGACUAACGUUGCAGGAUCUAUGGCGCACACCGCAAUAAUCAUUUUCGUAGCUGCAGAACCAGACCCAAAGGUUAAAAUGAGCCUCUUAAUAUAUUAGUGCUUUGAUUAUUUUUGUUUUGGAAUUUUAACGGGGCUUCCCUCUCCAUCGGCGGUGAUACAAAACACUAGAUCGACGCACGAGGUUUUGAGGAAUGUGACCCUCUACCGGCAUGAGGUGUUUGGAUUUCCGGCGUUGAUCGCAUACUGGCGUUUAAACAGAUUGUUAAUUUGAUGCAUACGAUAGUAGAUGUUAGUUAAUUAGCAUGGCGGGCCAUUUUUUUGUGACUUUCUAACUGAGCAUACAGGUGUAAAUGGAACCUUUUACACUGUACAUGGACAUGUGAUGCAUCAUUAUUAAU
Lolium perenne is the source of this 1211-nucleotide long non-coding RNA. RefSeq lists it as uncharacterized. NCBI's taxonomy places the organism in Eukaryota, Viridiplantae, Streptophyta, Magnoliopsida, Poales, Poaceae. The record is from RefSeq and is a predicted model, not a curated record.